RNAcentral lists this ribosomal RNA (468 nucleotides) under uncultured bacterium. Its description in RNAcentral is "partial 16S ribosomal RNA". It matches the Rfam family "Bacterial small subunit ribosomal RNA", at positions 28 to 507 of the family's 1533-position model. The record is from RNAcentral.
GAUGAACGCUGGCGGCGUGCUUAACAUAUGCAAGUCGAACGGAAAGGCCCAAGCUUGCUUGGGUACUCGAGUGGCGAACGGGUGAGUAACACGUGGGUGAUCUGCCCUGCACUUCGGGAUAAGCCUGGGAAACUGGGUCUAAUACCGGAUAGGACCACUUCUUGGAUGUUGUGGUGGAAAGUUUUCUCGGUGUGGGAUGAGCUCGCGGCCUAUCAGCUUGUUGGUGGGGUAAUGGCCUACCAAGGCGUCGACGGGUAGCCGGCCUGAGAGGGUGUACGGCCACAUUGGGACUGAGAUACGGCCCAGACUCCUACGGGAGGCAGCAGUGGGGAAUAUUGCACAAUGGGCGCAAGCCUGAUGCAGCGACGCCGCGUGGGGGAUGACGGCCUUCGGGUUGUAAACUCCUUUCGCUAGGGACGAAGCGUUUUUGUGACGGUACCUGGAGAAGAAGCACCGGCUAACUACGUG